GUGCAGCAGUCGCGAAACUUUACAAUGUGCGAAAGCACGAUAAGGGAACUCUGAGUGCCUCCUAAGGAGGCUGUUCAGGUGUCUAAAAGCACCUGAAGGAAGGGCUGGGUAAGACCGGUGCCAGCCGCCGCGGUAACACCGGCAGCCCAAGUGGUAGCCACGUUUAUUGGGUCUAAAGCGUCCGUAGCCGGCUGGGUAAGUUCCUUGGGAAAUUUGGCUGCUUAACAGUCAAGCUUUCAGGGAAUACUGCCCGGCUUGGGACCGGGAGAGGUCAGAGGUACUCCAGGGGUAGGGGUGAAAUCCAUUAAUCCUUGGGGGACCACCGGUAGCGAAGGCGUCUGACCAGACCGGGUCCGACGGUGAGGGACGAAGGCUAGGGGCGCGAACCGGAUUAGAUACCCGGGUAGU
This 408-nucleotide ribosomal RNA is filed under the name uncultured microorganism. RNAcentral describes it as "bacterial SSU rRNA". It matches the Rfam family "Archaeal small subunit ribosomal RNA", at positions 330 to 745 of the family's 1478-position model. The record is from RNAcentral.